This 253-nucleotide ribosomal RNA is filed under the name uncultured bacterium. Its description in RNAcentral is "partial 16S ribosomal RNA". It matches the Rfam family "Bacterial small subunit ribosomal RNA", at positions 524 to 776 of the family's 1533-position model. The record is from RNAcentral.
UACGUAGGUGGCAAGCGUUGUCCGGAUUUACUGGGCGUAAAGGAUGCGUAGGCGGACAUUUAAGUCAGAUGUGAAAUACCCGAGCUUAACUUGGGUGCUGCAUUUGAAACUGGGUGUCUAGAGUGCAGGAGAGGUAAGUGGAAUUCCUAGUGUAGCGGUGAAAUGCGUAGACAUUAGGAAGAACACCAGUGGCGAAGGCGACUUACUGGACUGUAACUGACGCUGAGGCAUGAAAGCGUGGGGAGCAAACAGG